RNAcentral lists this ribosomal RNA (468 nucleotides) under uncultured bacterium. RNAcentral's name for it is "partial 16S ribosomal RNA". It matches the Rfam family "Bacterial small subunit ribosomal RNA", at positions 28 to 507 of the family's 1533-position model. The record is from RNAcentral.
GACGAACGCUGGCGGCGUGCUUAACACAUGCAAGUCGAACGGAAAGGCCCUGCUUUUGUGGGGUGCUCGAGUGGCGAACGGGUGAGUAACACGUGAGUAACCUGCCCUUGACUUUGGGAUAACUUCAGGAAACUUGGGCUAAUACCGGAUAGGAGCUCCUGCUGCAUGGUGGGGGUUGGAAAGUUUCGGCGGUUGGGGAUGGACUCGCGGCUUAUCAGCUUGUUGGUGGGGUAGUGGCUUACCAAGGCUUUGACGGGUAGCCGGCCUGAGAGGGUGACCGGCCACAUUGGGACUGGGAUACGGCCCAGACUCCUACGGGAGGCAGCAGUGGGGAAUAUUGCACAAUGGGCGGAAGCCUGAUGCAGCAACGCCGCGUGCGGGAUGACGGCCUUCGGGUUGUAAACCGCAUUCGCCUGUGACGAAGCGUGAGUGACGGUAAUGGGUAAAGAAGCACCGGCUAACUACGUG